CGGUUGAUCCUGCCGGAGGUUACUGCUAUCGGAGUUCGAUUAAGCCAUGCGAGUCUAAAGGCUUCUUCGGAAGCCUUGGCGGACCGCUCAGUAACACGUGGAUAACCUACCCUUGGGACUGGCAUAACCCCGGGAAACUGGGGAUAAUACCAGAUAGAUCAGGGAUGCUGGAAUGCACCUUGAUCCAAAGCUCAGGCGCCCAAGGAUGGAUCUGCGACCUAUCAGGUUGUAGUGGGUGUAACGUACCUACUAGCCGACGGCGGGUACGGGUUGUGAGAGCAAGAGCCCGGAGAUGGAUUCUGAGACACGAAUCCAGGCCCUACGGGGUGCAGCAGGCGCGAAACCUUUACAAUGUGCGAAAGCAUGAUAAGGGAACUCCGAGUGCCAGCAUCUAAUGCUGGCUGUCCUUGUGCCUAAAACGUACAAGAUAGCAAGGGCCGGGUAAGACCGGUGCCAGCCGCCGCGGUAACACCGGCGGCCCGAGUGGUAGCCACUAUUAUUGGGUCUAAAGGGUCCGUAGCCGGUUUGGUAAGUCCUCUGGAAAAUCUGGUUGCUCAACAAUCAGACUGCCAAGGGAUACUGUCGAACUUGAGACCGGGAGAGGUAAGAGGUACUUCAGGGGUAGGAGUGAAAU
Molecule: ribosomal RNA, 634 nt
Filed under: uncultured archaeon
Lineage: Archaea
Description: bacterial SSU rRNA
Rfam family: Archaeal small subunit ribosomal RNA
Source: RNAcentral